GAUGAACGCUGGCGGCGUGCCUAAUACAUGCCAGUCGAGCGAAGCGGGGACGGGUGAGUAACACGUGGCUAACCCCCUAUAAGACUGGGAUUAAUUCGGGAAACCGGAGCUAAACCGGAUACUUAGAGGUGGAUUCUCGCUGCAUUAGCUAGUUGUUAGGGUAACGGCUUACCAAGGCAACGAUCCAUAGCCGACCUGAGAGGAUGAUCGGCCACACUGGAACUGAGACACGGUCCAGACUCCUACGAGAGGCAGCAGUAGGGAAUCUUCCUCAAUGGGCGAAAGCCUGACGCAGCAACGCCGCGUGAGUGAUGAAGGUCUUCGGAUCGUAAAACUCUGUUAGUAGGGAGGCGGUACCUAAUCAGAAAGCCACGGCUAACUGCGUGCCAGCAGCCGCGGUAAUUC
Molecule: ribosomal RNA, 405 nt
Filed under: uncultured bacterium
Lineage: Bacteria
Description: partial 16S ribosomal RNA
Rfam family: Bacterial small subunit ribosomal RNA
Source: RNAcentral